This 251-nucleotide ribosomal RNA is filed under the name uncultured prokaryote. RNAcentral's name for it is "partial 16S rRNA". It matches the Rfam family "Bacterial small subunit ribosomal RNA", at positions 525 to 775 of the family's 1533-position model. The record is from RNAcentral.
ACGGAGGGUGCAAGCGUUGUUCGGAAUUACUGGGCGUAAAGGGCGCGUAGGCGGAUGGGUAAGUCGGAUGUGAAAGCCUGGAGCUCAACCCCAGAACUGCAUUCGAUACUGGCGGACUCGAGUCCGGGAGAGGGGAGUGGAACUGCUAGUGUAGAGGUGAAAUUCGUAGAUAUUAGCAAGAACACCAGUGGCGAAGGCGGCUCACUGGCCCGGUACUGACGCUGAGGUGCGAAAGCGUGGGGAGCAAACAG